RNAcentral lists this unclassified non-coding RNA (249 nucleotides) under Glomerales sp. Its description in RNAcentral is "partial contains 5.8S ribosomal RNA and internal transcribed spacer 2". The stretch from base 1 to 71 matches the Rfam family "5.8S ribosomal RNA", at positions 84 to 154 of the family's 154-position model. The record is from RNAcentral. Lineage: Eukaryota; Fungi; Glomeromycota; Glomeromycetes; Glomerales; Glomeraceae.
GUGAAUCAUCGAAUCUUUGAACGCAAAUUGCACUCUCUGGCAUUCCGGGCAGUAUGCCUGUUUGAGGGUCAGUUUCAAUAAAAAUAUAGGUGUGGCUGUUUAGUGUCCCGGCGGAAUUGGGUGAUCUUUGACCUUUUAAAAGGUUUAAGGGACCUAAAAUGGAUACCUUUUUCAACUUAGAGGUACAUAAGAAUAUUUUUUUAUCCGUCCGGAGUUGCCACCUUUUUAUUAUGUAUUACCAUGCUGUUG